RNAcentral lists this ribosomal RNA (492 nucleotides) under uncultured bacterium. RNAcentral describes it as "partial 16S ribosomal RNA". It matches the Rfam family "Bacterial small subunit ribosomal RNA", at positions 29 to 507 of the family's 1533-position model. The record is from RNAcentral.
AGUGAACGCUGGCGGUAGGCCUAACACAUGCAAGUCGAACGGCAGCACAGUAAGAGCUUGCUCUUACGGGUGGCGAGUGGCGGACGGGUGAGGAAUACAUCUGAAUCUACUUUUUCGUGGGGGCUAACGUAGGGAAACUUACGCUAAUACCGCAUACGACCUACGGGUGAAAGCAGGGGAUCUUCGGACCUUGCGCGAUUGAAUGAGCCGAUGUCGGAUUAGCUAGUUGGCAGGGUAAAGGCCCACCAAGGCGACGAUCCGUAGCUGGUCUGAGAGGAUGAUCAGCCACACUGGAACUGAGACACGGUCCAGACUCCUACGGGAGGCAGCAGUGGGGAAUAUUGGACAAUGGGCGCAAGCCUGAUCCAGCCAUACCGCGUGGGUGAAGAAGGCCUUCGGGUUGUAAAGCCCUUUUGUUGGGAAAGAAAAGCAGCAGGUUAAUACCCCGCUGUUCUGACGGUACCCAAAGAAUAAGCACCGGCUAACUUCGUG